GACAGAGGGGGCAAGCGUUGCUCGGAAUUACUGGGCGUAAAGGGCGCGUAGGCGGAAUGGCAAGUCGGUCGUGAAAUCCUUCGGCUCAACCGAAGAACGUCGAUCGAAACUGCCGUUCUUGAGGAUUGCAGAGGAGACUGGAAUUCCUGGUGUAGCGGUGAAAUGCGUAGAGAUCCGGAGGAACACCAGUGGCGAAGGCGGCCCCCUGGGCCGCGCCUGACGCUGAGACGCGAAAGCGCGGGGAGCGAACGGG
RNAcentral lists this ribosomal RNA (253 nucleotides) under uncultured bacterium. RNAcentral describes it as "partial 16S ribosomal RNA". It matches the Rfam family "Bacterial small subunit ribosomal RNA", at positions 524 to 776 of the family's 1533-position model. The record is from RNAcentral.